GGUUAAGCGACUAAGCGUACACGGUGGAUGCCCUGGCAGUCAGAGGCGAUGAAGGACGUGCUAAUCUGCGAAAAGCGUCGGUAAGGUGAUAUGAACCGUUAUAACCGGCGAUGUCCGAAUGGGGAAACCCAGUGCAAUUCGUUGCACUAUCGUUAACUGAAUACAUAGGUUAACGAGGCGAACCGGGGGAACUGAAACAUCUAAGUACCCCGAGGAAAAGAAAUCAACCGAGAUUCCCCCAGUAGCGGCGAGCGAACGGGGAGCAGCCCAGAGUCUGAAUCAGCUUGUGUGUUAGUGGAACGGUCUGGAAAGUCCGACGGUACAGGGUGAUAGUCCCGUACACCAAAAUGCACAGGCUGUGAACUCGAAGAGUAGGGCGGGACACGUGGUAUCCUGUCUGAAUAUGGGGGGACCAUCCUCCAAGGCUAAAUACUCCUGACUGACCGAUAGUGAACCAGUACCGUGAGGGAAAGGCGAAAAGAACCCCGGCGAGGGGAGUGAAAAAGAACCUGAAACCGUGUACGUACAAGCAGUGGGAGCACCUUCGGGUGUGACUGCGUACCUUUUGUAUAAUGGGUCAGCGACUUAUAUUCUGUAGCAAGGUUAACCGUAUAGGGGAGCCGCAGGGAAACCGAGUCUUAACUGGGCGUUAAGUUGCAGGGUAUAGACCCGAAACCCGGUGAUCUAGCCAUGGGCAGGUUGAAGGUUGGGUAACACUAACUGGAGGACCGAACCGACUAAUGUUGAAAAAUUAGCGGAUGACUUGUGGCUGGGGGUGAAAGGCCAAUCAAACCGGGAGAUAGCUGGUUCUCCCCGAAAGCUAUUUAGGUAGCGCCUCGUGAAUUCAUCUUCGGGGGUAGAGCACUGUUUCGGCUAGGGGGUCAUCCCGACUUACCAACCCGAUGCAAACUACGAAUACCGAAGAAUGUUAUCACGGGAGACACACGGCGGGUGCUAACGUCCGUCGUGAAGAGGGAAACAACCCAGACCGCCAGCUAAGGUCCCAAAGUCAUGGUUAAGUGGGAAACGAUGUGGGAAGGCACAGACAGCCAGGAUGUUGGCUUAGAAGCAGCCAUCAUUUAAAGAAAGCGUAAUAGCUCACUGGUCGAGUCGGCCUGCGCGGAAGAUGUAACGGGGCUAAACCAUGCACCGAAGCUGCGGCAGCGACACUAUGUGUUGUUGGGUAGGGGAGCGUUCUGUAAGCCUGCGAAGGUGACCUGUGAGGGUUGCUGGAGGUAUCAGAAGUGCGAAUGCUGACAUAAGUAACGAUAAAGCGGGUGAAAAGCCCGCUCGCCGGAAGACCAAGGGUUCCUGUCCAACGUUAAUCGGGGCAGGGUGAGUCGACCCCUAAGGCGAGGCCGAAAGGCGUAGUCGAUGGGAAACAGGUUAAUAUUCCUGUACUUGGUGUUACUGCGAAGGGGGGACGGAGAAGGCUAUGUUAGCCGGGCGACGGUUGUCCCGGUUUAAGCAUGUAGGCUGAUUGUCCAGGCAAAUCCGGAUAAUCAAGGCUGAGGUGUGAUGACGAGGCACUACGGUGCUGAAGUAACAAAUGCCCUGCUUCCAGGAAAAGCCUCUAAGCAUCAGGUAACAUCAAAUCGUACCCCAAACCGACACAGGUGGUCAGGUAGAGAAUACCAAGGCGCUUGAGAGAACUCGGGUGAAGGAACUAGGCAAAAUGGUGCCGUAACUUCGGGAGAAGGCACGCUGGUGUGUAGGUGAAGCCCCUGCGGGUGGAGCUGAGACCAGUCGAAGAUACCAGCUGGCUGCAACUGUUUAUUAAAAACACAGCACUGUGCAAACACGAAAGUGGACGUAUACGGUGUGACGCCUGCCCGGUGCCGGAAGGUUAAUUGAUGGGGUUAUCCGUAAGGAGAAGCUCUUGAUCGAAGCCCCGGUAAACGGCGGCCGUAACUAUAACGGUCCUAAGGUAGCGAAAUUCCUUGUCGGGUAAGUUCCGACCUGCACGAAUGGCGUAAUGAUGGCCAGGCUGUCUCCACCCGAGACUCAGUGAAAUUGAACUCGCUGUGAAGAUGCAGUGUACCCGCGGCAAGACGGAAAGACCCCGUGAACCUUUACUAUAGCUUGACACUGAACAUUGAGCCUUGAUGUGUAGGAUAGGUGGGAGGCUUUGAAGCGUGGACGCCAGUCUGCGUGGAGCCAACCUUGAAAUACCACCCUUUAAUGUUUGAUGUUCUAACGUUGGCCCCUUACCGGGGUUGCGGACAGUGUCUGGUGGGUAGUUUGACUGGGGCGGUCUCCUCCCAAAGCGUAACGGAGGAGCACGAAGGUUAGCUAAUCCUGGUCGGACAUCAGGAGGUUAGUGCAAUGGCAUAAGCUAGCUUGACUGCGAGCGUGACGGCGCGAGCAGGUGCGAAAGCAGGUCAUAGUGAUCCGGUGGUUCUGAAUGGAAGGGCCAUCGCUCAACGGAUAAAAGGUACUCCGGGGAUAACAGGCUGAUACCGCCCAAGAGUUCAUAUCGACGGCGGUGUUUGGCACCUCGAUGUCGGCUCAUCACAUCCUGGGGCUGAAGUAGGUCCCAAGGGUAUGGCUGUUCGCCAUUUAAAGUGGUACGCGAGCUGGGUUUAGAACGUCGUGAGACAGUUCGGUCCCUAUCUGCCGUGGGCGCUGGAGAAUUGAGGGGGGCUGCUCCUAGUACGAGAGGACCGGAGUGGACGCAUCACUGGUGUUCGGGUUGUCAUGCCAAUGGCACUGCCCGGUAGCUAAAUGCGGAAGAGAUAAGUGCUGAAAGCAUCUAAGCACGAAACUUGCCCCGAGAUGAGUUCUCCCUGAGACUUUAAGUCUCCUGAAGGAACGUUGAAGACGACGACGUUGAUAGGCCGGGUGUGUAAGCGCAGCGAUGCGUUGAGCUAACCGGUACUAAUGAACCGUGAGGCUUAACCUU
This 2902-nucleotide ribosomal RNA is filed under the name Klebsiella pneumoniae. Its description in RNAcentral is "23S ribosomal RNA". It matches the Rfam family "Bacterial large subunit ribosomal RNA". The record is from RNAcentral. Lineage: Bacteria; Pseudomonadati; Pseudomonadota; Gammaproteobacteria; Enterobacterales; Enterobacteriaceae. RNAcentral also lists the same sequence under 1 other name.